ACGUAGGGUGCAAGCGUUGUCCGGAAUUAUUGGGCGUAAAGAGCUCGUAGGCGGUUUGUUGCGUCGGCUGUGAAAUCCCGAGGCUCAACCUCGGGUCUGCAGUCGAUACGAGCAAACUAGAGUGUUGCAGGGGAGACUGGAAUUCCUGGUGUAGCGGUGAAAUGCGCAGAUAUCAGGAGGAACACCGGUGGCGAAGGCGGCUCUCUGGAACGUUCCUGACACUGAGGCACGAAAGCGUGGGGAGCAAACAGGA
This 253-nucleotide ribosomal RNA is filed under the name uncultured prokaryote. RNAcentral's name for it is "partial 16S ribosomal RNA". It matches the Rfam family "Bacterial small subunit ribosomal RNA", at positions 525 to 777 of the family's 1533-position model. The record is from RNAcentral.